UUAAAAAUUAUGUGUGCGUGUGUGUGUGUGUAUGCGCGCGCACGCGCGUACGUGUGAGAGAAAGAGAGAGGAUGAAGCACGUGAAAAGAAUAACUUUAAUUUAGAGGUGUACGUAAACAUGUAUUUAAUUAAUGCGAACGAAUGAGAAAGAGAGAGAGAGAGAGGGAAUAAGAUUAACAAUAAGUUUCAUUUUAAAUGAAAUACGUAAAAUAUAUAUAGGAAGACAUUUUUACAUUGUAUUCGUUAUUUGACGCUUUCUCGUGACGGAGAAACAGUGAACCCGUGUGUGAUGUGAAUAAUUAUCAAGUGACAUUGAAAAUUGGCGACGAACGAACUAAUACAUAAAAAAAGAUAGAGAUAGAAAUGAAAAGAACAGAAGAAAGUACACGUGGACGUUUUAGGAUAUAAUAUGUGUCAUUGUACACAUGCAUGCAUGCAUUUGGAUGCAUGUUGCAUGCAUGUAUGUAUGUAUGUAUGUAUAUUUAACGUAUAACGCGUAUCAGUAUAAUAAGUUACUUGUACAUUUUUAAACAAAUAUAAAACAACUUUAAUAGACACUUUUCGCUAAAUAUACUUACAAUUAGAUCUUAAAUAAUCCCGUUAAUAUUUUCAUUUCUCUUCGAUAUUUGUAUCAAAAACGAGAAAGAAAGAAAGAAAGAAAGGAAGAAAAAAUAUUUCGUUCGUUAGUCCCGUUAUUCGAUGUUGCUUGACUUUCGUAGAUGGUAGUCUCGAAAUAUUUUGCCGUUGUUUCGUAAUAAUAUUCGAACCACGAACGGAAACCCAUAAACGAAUAGUGUUACAUACAUACAUACAUACAUGUAUACAUAGAUGGGCACAUGUACUACACUUCCACGCACACACGAGUGAGCACAUCCUCUGUUCGCGCCAUGUUGAACUUCUCUUCUUCUUUUAUGCAACGUUGUUGUUGUUGUUAUAUCUAUGGACAGUUUGAUAUGUAAAUUUAUUAUUUCUUUUUCAUUUUGAUUUUCAUUUUUUGUUCAGAAAACAUUCCUCUGUACACUAUACAUUGCUUCAACCUAUAUAUCGUGUAUAUAUACAUGCAUAAAUAGAUAUUUGUAAGGCGAUAUUCCGUGUGUAUGUGUGCGCGUGCGUGCGUUGCGUAUGCGUAUGCGUAUGCGUGUCGUGUGUGAAACAGAAAAUUGGGGAUCACGAUUUGUGCGUUUUUACGUUAAUCCUUCAAUUUCUUCUUUGACUUUAUUUUGAAUUACGCUAAAAUCGUAUUCUCCAUUCGUUUGGAGAUUUAUUUGUAAUAGUUGGAAAGUUAAAAAAAAAAAUCGUCGGGGAAGAGAUGAUGGACAAUUUUUAGCAGUUAGAAUUUUUUGCUAUACUUACAUAUGUUGAAAUGACAAUGACAUUGAUGUGAUAUUAAAGGUGUUGAAAAGGCAAAAGCCAAAGGAAACAAUUAGAAGAUGACAAAAUAAUCAUACAAGCUUGAUUCUUGAUAAAUUGCGCUGGGUUUAAACCCAAUUCUUGAGCCGAUUCGCCUAACUCACCCCUCGUUCGUCGUCGUCGUCGUCGUCGUCGUCGUCGUCGUCUACGAAAAACGAACGGCUGUCUUGUAAACGAGAUUGCGUAGUUAUGGCUAUUGGAGAUACUUAAUUUAAUUAAUCGCAACGAGAGAUCAAUCGAUCAUUGUAAUCAACCACAAAAAAAGCAAAAGAGAUGAACGUGCUGGGUAUUUAUUACUGUGCAUCACGCUUACACAGUGGGCUGCUGAUCGUGUCGUCUGAAAGGCCUGGAACGUGACAAGACGAUGACAAUGACAA
This is a long non-coding RNA of Polistes dominula (European paper wasp), 1787 nucleotides long. The record is from RefSeq and is a predicted model, not a curated record. Lineage: Eukaryota; Metazoa; Arthropoda; Insecta; Hymenoptera; Vespidae.